Molecule: unclassified non-coding RNA, 345 nt
Filed under: soil metagenome
Description: partial contains 5.8S ribosomal RNA, internal transcribed spacer 2, and large subunit ribosomal RNA
Rfam family: 5.8S ribosomal RNA (bases 1-120)
Source: RNAcentral
GAUGAAGAACGCAGCGAAAUGGGAUACGUAAUGUGAAUUGCAGAAUUCAGUGAAUCAUCGAGUCUUUGAACGCACAUUGCGCCCCCUGGUAUUCCGGGGGGCAUGCCUGUCCGAGCGUCAUUGCUGCCCUCAAGCACGGCUUGUGUGUUGGGCCUCCGUCCUCCUCCCGGGGGACGGGCCCGAAAGGCAGCGGCGGCACCGCGUCCGGUCCUCGAGCGUAUGGGGCUUCGUCACCCGCUCUUGUAGGCCCGGCCGGCGCUUGCCGACACAUCAAUCUUUUUUCCAGGUUGACCUCGGAUCAGGGAGGGAUACCCGCUGAACUUAAGCAUAUCAAUAAGCGGAGGA